UUGAGGUCAGUGAAAUAUAUUACAUACAACGAGUGUGUGUGUGUGUGUGUGUGUGUGUGUGUGUGUGUGUGUGUGUAAAUGUAGUCUGUCAUCUAUUCCAAGUUGAAGACCGAACAGUUUGUAAUUAAUAAUAAUCCUCUGUGUGUUUAUUUGGAACCAAGCAGCUGCAAGACACAGGAAAACUUCUGGCUGCAAAAGGUAUGCACCUGAGUUUUGAAGGGGGCCCGUGUCCAUAACCCAAAAUCUUAGGCAAGAAAGGUAUAAUAUGAGAUGAUUUAUUUGAUAUACUUAUAGUACUGACCUUGUAAGAUCCCUUGAGAGAUCAGUUCUCAUAGCUGCAAGGUCUCUUGUCAUUUGAACCGGAAAUGUGCCCUAUAGGCUCACAUUUUGAAUGAUCAGUCUCUAGUUUGUGGUGCUCUUGGGUCUUGUUUUGUUUUGCUUCUGAGACAAAGUUUUACUGUGUAGCCCUGGUGGCCUGAAACUCACAAAGCUUCUCUUGCAGGGAUGAAAGGCAUGUACCACCUCACCCAACUGUGUGCUAUUUUGGAGUUUUUGGAAACUUUAGGAAUUUGGUCCUUGCCAAAGUGGAGGAAGUAACCACUUUUUCUAGUCCCACAUAAACUUCUGUUGCUGACGUGAGCAUCAUCACCAUGUCAUAUCUAUCCCAUCGUGAUGGACUGAAAUCCCUUUGAAACUGUGAACCAAAACAUACUUCUGAAGAAAAGCAGGACUGGGACAGGAGCUGGCUCCUUGGAGGAAGUAAGGGCAAGACCCAUGGUGGAUCAUGAACUAGUCAUAAACACGUCACACGUUACCACUCUGACUGGAUGAGUAACCAGAAGUCGCCUCUCUUGGUGGCCAUUAGUCACUCCCUGGUUAUCAUUCCAGCUCCCUGGUUAAGUUCACCAAGAUGAGAGAAAGGAUCACUGACUAUCAAAUAAUUUGUAUCACUAUUAUCACUUCAAACCCUUCAAACCCUGGCUUACCUAGAAGAUUCGUCCAUGCCUUUGUGACCCUACUGAGUCUCUCUGUAGAAGUCUGAAAAGGCUGCGGGACAGUAUGUUCUUCUUGCCCUCAUUAGCGCAUCAGUAAACGCCAUGCUAAGCAUGAGCCUCA
Non-coding RNA from Peromyscus maniculatus bairdii (prairie deer mouse), 1116 nucleotides. NCBI's taxonomy places the organism in Eukaryota, Metazoa, Chordata, Mammalia, Rodentia, Cricetidae. The record is from RefSeq and is a predicted model, not a curated record.